Molecule: ribosomal RNA, 392 nt
Filed under: uncultured bacterium
Lineage: Bacteria
Description: partial 16S ribosomal RNA
Rfam family: Bacterial small subunit ribosomal RNA
Source: RNAcentral
UGGGGAAUAUUGCACAAUGGGCGAAAGCCUGAUGCAGCGACGCCGCGUGCGGGAUGAAGGCCUUCGGGUUGUAAACCGCUUUUGAUUGGGAGCAAGCGAGAGUGAGUGUACCUUUCGAAUAAGCACCGGCUAACUACGUGCCAGCAGCCGCGGUAAUACGUAGGGUGCAAGCGUUAUCCGGAAUUAUUGGGCGUAAAGAGCUCGUAGGCGGUUUGUCGCGUCUGGUGUGAAAGUCCAUCGCUUAACGGUGGAUCUGCGCCGGGUACGGGCAGGCUAGAGUGCGACAGGGGAGACUGGAAUUCCCGGUGUAACGGUGGAAUGUGUAGAUAUCGGGAAGAACACCAAUGGCGAAGGCAGGUCUCUGGGUCGUCACUGACGCUGAGGAGCGAAAA